This 253-nucleotide ribosomal RNA is filed under the name uncultured bacterium. RNAcentral describes it as "partial 16S ribosomal RNA". It matches the Rfam family "Bacterial small subunit ribosomal RNA", at positions 524 to 776 of the family's 1533-position model. The record is from RNAcentral.
UACGUAGGGGGCAAGCGUUGUCCGGAUUUAUUGGGCGUAAAGAGCGUGUAGGCGGCCAAGCAGGUCCGCUGUGAAAACUCGAGGCUCAACCUCGAGACGUCGGUGGAAACCGUUUGGCUAGAGUCCGGAAGAGGAGAGUGGAAUUCCUAGUGUAGAGGUGAAAUUCGUAGAUAUUAGGAAGAACACCAGUGGCGAAGGCGGCUCACUGGCCCGGUACUGACGCUGAGGCGCGAAAGCGUGGGGAGCAAACAGG